Molecule: ribosomal RNA, 467 nt
Filed under: uncultured bacterium
Lineage: Bacteria
Description: partial 16S ribosomal RNA
Rfam family: Bacterial small subunit ribosomal RNA
Source: RNAcentral
GACGAACGCUGGCGGCGUGCUUAACACAUGCAAGUCGAACGGAAAGGCCCUGCUUUUGUGGGGUGCUCAAGUGGCGAACGGGUGAGUAACACGUGAGUAACCUGCCCUUGACUUUGGGAUAACUUCAGGAAACUGGGGCUAAUACCGGAUAGGAGCUCCUGCUGCAUGGUGGGGGUUGGAAAGUUUCGGCGGUUGGGGAUGGACUCGCGGCUUAUCAGCUUGUUGGUGGGGUAGUGGCUUACCAAGGCUUUGACGGGUAGCCGGCCUGAGAGGGUGACCGGCCACAUUGGGACUGAGAUACGGCCCAGACUCCUACGGGAGGCAGCAGUGGGGAAUAUUGCACAAUGGGCGGAAGCCUGAUGCAGCAACGCCGCGUGCGGGAUGACGGCCUUCGGGUUGUAAACCGCUUUCGCCUGUGACGAAGCGUGAGUGACGGUAAUGGGUAAAGAAGCACCGGCUAACUACGU